UCAGGCGGCCGGAUGAUCGCUGGUCGGCGUUUAUGCGCCGCCUGGAGGAAAGUCCGGGCUCCACGGAAACACGGUGCCGGGUAACGCCCGGCGGGGGUGACCCCAGGGAAAGUGCCACAGAAAGCAAACCGCCUGCUCAGGCUUCGGUCUGGCGGGCAAGGGUGAAAGGGUGCGGUAAGAGCGCACCGCGCGGGUGGUGACACACGCGGCAGGGCAAACCCCACCGGGAGCAAGAUCGAGUAGGGAUGACGCGCCGGCGCUUCGGUUCCGGCAGGUGCGUUUCCGGCCCAGUCAUCCGGGUUGAUCGCGUGAGGCGUCCGGCAACGGACGUCCCAGAUGAAUGGUCAUCAGCCGAACCCUUCGGGUUUGGCGACAGAACCCGGCUUACAGGCCGCCUGAUCCC
RNAcentral lists this RNase P RNA (403 nucleotides) under Rhodospirillaceae bacterium. Its description in RNAcentral is "RNase P RNA component class A". It matches the Rfam family "Bacterial RNase P class A". From Rfam's summary of the family: Ribonuclease P (RNase P) is a ubiquitous endoribonuclease, found in archaea, bacteria and eukarya as well as chloroplasts and mitochondria. Its best characterised activity is the generation of mature 5'-ends of tRNAs by cleaving the 5'-leader elements of precursor-tRNAs. The record is from RNAcentral. Lineage: Bacteria; Pseudomonadati; Pseudomonadota; Alphaproteobacteria; Rhodospirillales; Rhodospirillaceae.